Tigriopus californicus is the source of this 1043-nucleotide long non-coding RNA. RefSeq lists it as uncharacterized. NCBI's taxonomy places the organism in Eukaryota, Metazoa, Arthropoda, Copepoda, Harpacticoida, Harpacticidae. The record is from RefSeq and is a predicted model, not a curated record. The transcript has 3 exons.
UGAUCCCAUUUUGAGUGGUAUCAAUCGUGCCCUUUGUUUUAAUGGCCGCCAAAUUGUUGUUAAAACGCUCUGGGGAGAAAUCAGGAUAGAUGGAGAUAGAAUCGACAUCAUAAUCGAUGAAUUUUUGCCGCUCCGGUGCCUUGAAAUCCUUACAUAGGUAGUGGUCUCUCAUUCUAAUCUUCAGGUCACUGAAAUGUUGUUCGUAAGCAGGCUAUCCAUCCAUGAUGUGAUAGCUUAGCCCAGAGGCUACCACGCCAAACAUGUCCACUGAUGAUGCUCUGCAUGACAAUACCUGAACGCGACAAAUGGCGCAAGUGUCGCACUCCACGUCCCACGACCACAUGGCCACACAGUGCCAUUUCUUCAAGGUGAAUAACCGCUCCGGGGUGGUCGCCACCGCCGACGAGGGCGAUGAGGAUGAAACGGACAUUUCGGUCCCCGACCCGUGAGCCGCAUCCGGAGUCACCUCCAUGCUAGAUGAUACGCAUCCAAGCAAGCACCCAUGAAGGAUGGGCGGACGUCAAAGGUGGAACACGGGUGGAGCAAGGCAAGAGGACGACGAGGAGGACGAGGAGGAGGAUGCACAAGAGGAUGCUUGACCGAUUGACAAUAUCAAGAUUUCAGCUGAUUGACAAACAGGGUGACCCCAAAGCUUUAUGAAAAAAAGCCCAGAUAACCCUGCCUGGGGAGUUCUUUGUUUGGAGCCAAAAGAGGCCAUUUUCUAGGUUAAUCAGUCAAGCCUUACUAUGAGACAUUGGAUCCAAGAGAUCUUUUCUCAAACCAGAAUACCUACCAAUGCCAUCUGGCCAAAACCAGGCCAAUAAUUCAAAAUGGGCUUUUUGAAUUAAAAGAGACCAGUCGCUCUAUUGAAAACAGGUAAAGAAAAGGAUUUAUAAACAGGGCUGUCCACCCAGAUUUAGUGACCCUGACCGAGUCCGAACUUGAGAUAUUUCUCGACGCAUCAACGUGAGCGACCUUGAAGGGCCAGGAAGUCUUUCAAUUACUGACAUCAUGACACAUUCAAUGGAUUAUUAUGACACAAA